CAGCAGCCGCGGUAAUACCGGCAGCACGAGUGAUGGCCGAUAUUAUUGGGCCUAAAGCGUCCGUAGCUUGCUGUGUAAGUCCAUUGGGAAAUCGACGCGCUCAACGCGUCGGCGUCCGGUGGAAACUACACAGCUUGGGGCCGAGAGACUUGACGGGUACGUCCGGGGUAGGAGUGAAAUCCCGUAAUCCUGGACGGACCACCAAUGGGGAAACCACGUCAAGAGACCGGACCCGACAGUGAGGGACGAAAGCCAGGGUCUCGAACCGGAUUAGAUACCCGGGUAGUCCUGGCUGUAAACAAUGCUCGCUAGGUAUGUCACGCGCCAUGAGCACGUGAUGUGCCGCAGUGAAGACGAUAAGCGAGCCGCCUGGGAAGUACGUCCGCAAGGAUGAAACUUAAAGGAAUUGGCGGG
This 414-nucleotide ribosomal RNA is filed under the name uncultured microorganism. Its description in RNAcentral is "bacterial SSU rRNA". It matches the Rfam family "Archaeal small subunit ribosomal RNA", at positions 459 to 872 of the family's 1478-position model. The record is from RNAcentral.